Pan paniscus (pygmy chimpanzee) is the source of this 5082-nucleotide long non-coding RNA. The record is from Ensembl. NCBI's taxonomy places the organism in Eukaryota, Metazoa, Chordata, Mammalia, Primates, Hominidae.
GUUAGUUUGGGCUAUCUGCAUAAAGAUGAAUUAGUUUGGAAGCCAAAUUUCAUUACUCCUACUACAAAGAUAGGCUCAAUAACAGAUGCAACAAAUUUUAACUAUCAUUUCCGUCGGGAUCACAGAUGGUAUUGACAUGGAAGGCAUCUGUGGCACAGGCCAGUGAAGAGAUGGUUGGCUUCCUCUUCGAGUCAGAGCAAAAGGAUGUGGCAAAAAAGAUCUAAGGAUGCCAUGAGGAAUUCCAUGUGUGCAUGCAGGUCGUGCACCCGGAACACUUUGAAUUAAAGCAGGAAGCCUGAUUCUAAGCCACUAUUGCACUAAGCCCUGGAAAGAAAGAAGUGUGGAAGAAGGGAAGAGGAUGGAAGAAAAACAACCUUUUCUGAGUAAAAAGUUUAGUCUUUCUUCCAGUGUACAGUUUAAAAAUGUGGGCUCAUUGGAAUGAAUUUGAAGGUUAGGUUACAAUUUGCUUACAGCAGAUUUUACGAUUAAACUCAUUGAAUCAGCCUUUUUUUAACCUCUUAAGUGACGUAUACAUGGGAUUAAACAGAAUGAAAUUCAGUUGUUUCUCAACUCACUCUCCUAGCCUCACAUCUGUCAAAAUCAUUGCUGUUUGAUUUUCUUUUCUGCAAAGGCCCCCGAGACACAUUUGCCUUUAAGCGCUUGGGCACUGGUGGGAGCUGCGUGUUCUGGGUGUCUUUAAGUGCACUGGGCUGGGCUAGGCAACGCAGCUCGUGUGUCCCGGGAAAGCUGCAGUCUGCUGAGUGUAAGAUACACACCCAGACCACACCUUCAGAGCCAUGCAAAGCUGGAAGGAGACAGAGAUAAGGUACACUGAAAGGAAGAAAGAAACUCCUCUCUCCAAGCUGCAUCUGCUUGCUCAGGAAAGAGAUGUUUUAUGUGUUGCUACUAAAGGAAAGUGGGAUAUAGAAGAGAACAAGAAGAAAGAGAAGAAAGAAAAGGAAAGAAAAAUCUCUGUGUCAUGCUAGAGCUGCUGCAGCUUCUGAAGAUUCAUUCUUGCAGUCCUAUGGGAAGUCACCAGUUUGUUCUUUCAACAGUGUGCCAAAAGUGGAAAAAGGAAGAGUUUCAGCAACUGUCAACCAGGAAACUUUUUGUUUGUUUAUUUUUAAAAAAGAAGACUUAUCCAGCUAGCCAAGAAAUUUUGUUGAAGUUACAGGCUGUCAUUCUUUAUAAUCGCUCUACUUUCUUUUUCUUUCUGAAUCCUGCAUUUCCAUGGAGGAUGGAUAAUCUUGGGCAUUAUCCUCAUUGGCUCGGCUUAGCUCUGUCCCUUGGGGUCCUGCUGACUCUAUAAACUUUCAACUCCUAAAUCCAAUGCUGGCUCACCCAGGAAAGAAAAAAGCAAACUGAACAAUAAAAUUCAAGCUGUAGCUUCCGUUGUGACUCAAGAAUAGAAAAUGUUAAUGGCCAACAGCAUAUAAAGUGCCACUAAUCACCAAUAAUUUAUUAUUUCCCAGUGGGGUCCCCAAACAAACACCAUCUUGCCCAACUCCAUUACUAUCCAGGAUUGGAAAAGCUUUUCAAAGUUAAUUAUCUGAUUGAAUCUUCACCUAGGGUUGAGCAGUUUGAAAAUUUUUCAUAAAAAUUAAAUAUACCAAAAAGGAGAAAGUAAGUUUCCUUCCUUUCUUUUCUUUCUUAAGUCCCCCUCUUGUCUCUCUUCCUUUCCUUAGCAAGUCUUUGGCUGUGUCAGCUCUUCUAUGCAUGAUUGGUUUGCUGUGACCUAUGGAAAACUCUUACUACUUCAGGAAUUUUAUUUUGCUGGGUUUGGGCUAUAGGAUUUUGUUUUGAGGAAGUCUUAAAAGCUUAUAUUCUAGCCAAAACGUUUUAUUCUUGGAACUGCACAGAUAAAUUAGACCAUUUUGGGAAGGACCUUUGCAGUCACAUUGCCAGGAACAGUUUACAAGUGUAUCCCAAAACAUUAAGUAUUAUUUGGGUGUUCACACAAUAGGUUGAUAGGAUGUUGUUUUUUUCCUCUGCUGUUCUUAAUGCAGUAUAUACGUGGUUGAACGAAUAGUAUAAAUUCAUUUAUUGAUAAUUCUAGGAAUAAAUAGAAUACUUGAUUUGGAGGGCCCUAGUAAGUAUUUAUCAUAACAAACCCACAUUCUUAAUAUCAUACGGAAGAGAGCUUCAUUCUCCUUCAUGUACAAAAGUCGCUUCAAAAGCUUGUAUUGAAGGCCAGUCGUGGUGGCUCACGCCUGUAAUCCUAGCACUUUGGGAGGCUGAGGUGGGUGGAUAGCUUGAGGUCAGGAGUUUGAGACCAGCCUGGCCAACAUAGGAAAACCCUGUCUCUACUAAAAAUACAAAAAUUAGCUGGGUGUGGUGGCAUGCGCCUGUAAUCCCUGCUACUUGGGAGGCUGAGGCAGGAGAGUUACUUGAACCUGAGAAGCAGAGGUUGCAGUGAGCUGUGAUCGUGCCAUUGCACUCCAGCCUGGGUGACAGACUCCAUCCCAAGACAAACAAACAAACAAACAAAAACAAAAAAACUUGUGUUGAUCAGGAAGAGCCCCAAACUCACUCUCUGGUGGACUUAACUUCUGGAGCUAGCUGCACUGGAGUUUAACUAGAAUAUUUGGAAUCUAAAUAAGAAUUUAAAUAAUUACUCAUUUUCUGUGUUGGAGUAACAAUUUUAAUGGUGCACCACAUUUUAAUUUUAUAUACUGCAUUCGAGUAAGGAAUUAAUGGGGAAGAGAACUGCAUUUGUUAAGAGCUACCUACGUGCCAGGAUCCCAGUAUAUUCUCCUUGCAGCCUUGUAGGGUGGGUAUCAGUAUCCCCCUUUCACAGAUGAAGAAAUAAAGGUCUAGGGGGGUUAGGUGACCCAACCAAUGUCAAAAAUGUAACAGCUAGCAGCCUAGGAAGGUCUAUAUUACUCCAAAUCCAUACUCUUUUCCAUGAUAACCUAUUGCCUUCAAAGGGUGAAAAGGCUAAUUUGAUAUCCACCAUUACUGCCUAUGUAGACAGGUAAAUUUCACUGAGAAUAUUAUCCCUUCCGAUGGUCUGUCAAUGAGAGGUGGGAAAGGUCAUUGCCUUUGGAUAACCUGUCUCUUCAGGAAUUUCUAGGAUGAGCAGAGUGUCUUUUCCUCCUCCUCAUUGUGUUGUCCAAGAGUAAUGGGCAGCUUGGAGGGGCAUUCCAGAAUUUCAGCCAUUCCAGAAAUUCCGGUGAAGAAUUUGAGGUGAGGGAGGAUGAAGCAUGUACUGGCACUGUUGUAUCAGGUAUAGUAACACAAUCUUGAAUCAGCCUGAGCUUUCCUAUGAUCUUCAGUUUGUGAUCUUUCCAUAGGGCCUUGAGAGUUAGACGAUCUCAACCCCAUGAUCAGAACAGGUUCAUGGUUGUGUGGGAGUGGUUCCAACUCCACUAUAAUUGUGAAACAUGCAGGCUCAUAUUCUGGGAUACAUGCUUCUCCAGCUGUCAACACCUUGAUUGUUGAACGACUAAAAUUACUUUCAUAUUAAAGACUGUUAAUUCUACAAGGAUCUUUCUCCUGAGAAUGAAACGCACUGUGAGUCAUCUCUGAGAAUUUAGGGGGUAGCAGAACCAACAACUUGACCUGAAUAGGGCUAGAUGAUUAACUAGUCAAAGAGAGGUCAGCCUUUCUUACUGCAAAUUCACUCAAUCUGAAACAUGAUUAUGGUUUGCCAAAGAGAGUACCCUGAGGCAAAGAAGAUCACACAAGGUUGAAGACUAUUAGAAGAACAGGAUUCCAAAAAGAUAUGCUUCUAGUAAGGCCGACUUUGUGGGAGUGCAAACUUGAGCAGUCACAUACACUCUGUACUUUGUUUAAUGCUGUACUCUUGCUGUCUGGUAUUUUUUUUUUUUUUGAGAUCGAGUCUUGCUCUGUCGCCCAGGCUGGAGUUCAGUGGCACGAUCUCAGCUCACUGCAACCUCCGCCUCCUGGGUUCAAGUGAUUCUCCUGCCUCAGCCUCCUGAGUAGCUGGGAUUACAGGCACGCUACCACACCCAAGUAAUUUUUGUAUUUUUAGUAGAGACGGGGUUUCGCCAUGUUGGCCAGGCUCCUGACUUCAGGGUGAUCCGCCCUCCUUGGCCUCCCAAAGUGCUGGGAUUACAGGCGUGAGCCACCGAGCCCUGCCGCUGUCUGGAAAAUUUUAACACUCUUUGAAUAAGGGGCUAUCACGUUUUCAUGUUGCACUGGCCUGCAAAUUAAGCAGCUGGUCUUAGCUGCUAGUAAAAUGAUGAGAACCAUCAGGGAUAAAUAAGACCAGUGAAACUGCACCCAGACGGUGUCUCAGAACAGACCGUGACAAAACAAGCAUUGGCUAUAAGUAGAACUCACCUCACCUGGUUGGUGAGUUUGUUGCCAGCAUUGCAUAGGGCAGAUUUCACAGAAUGGGGAACGACAGGACUACUGGUCAGGGAAGACAGGCAUACUGGGGAAGAGUCCUCAGGGAGUAAAUUAGUAAGGCCCUUUUCCCUCUGGGGUAAUAAAACAGACACAAAGAAGAACUUGCAGGAUUAGACGACUGGGCUAGACUCAAGAAGAGUUAGGACGUACCUGCAAAUUCAGAGUAGGAUAUCCUGAAGUGCAGAAAAUAAAUCUUUAGCUAUUUUUCAUCUUUGUCCCCAAAUAAGUUUCCCAUAGGAAUGCCAUAUUGAUCAAGUUGGAAAGCCCCACACCAGGGACAAAUAUUAUAACAUAGGUUGUAGAAGAUAUUAAAAAUUGGUAAGACUUCACUCUGAGUAUCCUAGAUAAAAAGGGAGUCAGUAAUUACAUACCAAAGAACAUAACUAGGAUAACUCUUCAAUUACUUGAUUUUUUGGGGGUAACUUUUUCAUGUUUAUUAUCAUUAUCUCCAUCUACUUUUCCAUACUAUCUUUAAAAAUGGAAGAACCUGUGUGCUUAUUCUGGGUUAGAACAAGAAAGGGAGGAGGUUGGAGAAUCAUAUUAUACAUUGCAGUCUACCCUGGGGAGAGCUUACCUUGAAGAGAAAAAAAUCAUGGGAUAUAGAGUAGGAGGGGACAGCUUUUUUUUUCUUAAAGCAAGUUAAAUACCUAGGGUGUAUAGGGAGGAAGAAAAGGUCCCUUUGUGACACAGCUGGGGAUGAGCAAGAGG